UGUGUUUUAUCAACAAUAGCCAUGAAAUGGAUGUUGACUCAUUGCUGUUUUGAAAAGAGAAAUCUAUUUAGAAGUAAUUAAUCAAAGGGCACCAGCUGAGGCUGUGUGUGUGUGUGUGUGUGUGUGUGUGUGUGUGUGUCUUCACGCGCUCAGACAGGCACAA
This 163-nucleotide small RNA is filed under the name Marmota monax (woodchuck). Lineage: Eukaryota; Metazoa; Chordata; Mammalia; Rodentia; Sciuridae. The record is from RNAcentral.